AACUUAUUUGCCAAUAUUUGCUUAAUCAGAUAUCUCUGUUUGCAGGAAGUUUGCUGUAUGGAUUACCAAUUUCAAAAAUUAAACGACACUAAAAUUCAGAUUAGUACAUUGUAUUGCUUUUGAACACUCCUCAUUGAAGAGGCUGCUGUUCAGGCUUCCUUGUGGUGCUGGUGAGUGAGCGAGUGCCACUCACUGGUAUUGCCUUGAAGAGGCUGCUGGACAGCAGACUUCGUCGCAUGCUAUUUUCUUUAGAACAUGCCAUGAAUCCAUACAAAUUGUGGGUGCAUUGCUUUUACAGUUGCAUCCAAGAAUUGAUGCCCGGAGAGCUGAUGAAAACCUUGGAAUGCUUCUUGUAGAAUUUUUUGAACUCUAUGGGAGAAAUUUUAAUUACUUGAAAACCGGUAUUAGAAUCAAAGAAGGAGGUGCCUAUAUCGCCAAAGAGGAGAUCAUGAAAGCCAUGACCAGCGGGUACAGACCGUCGAUGCUGUGCAUUGAGGACCCCCUGCUGCCAGGGAAUGACGUUGGCCGGAGCUCCUAUGGCGCCAUGCAGGUGAAGCAGGUCUUCGACUAUGCCUACAUAGUGCUCAGCCAUGCCGUGUCGCCGCUGGCCAGGUCCUAUCCAAACAGAGACGCCGAAAGUACUUUAGGAAGAAUCAUCAAAGUAACUCAGGAGGUGAUUGACUACCGGAGGUGGAUCAAAGAGAAGUGGGGCAGCAAAGCGCACCUGUCGCCGGGCAUGG
This 740-nucleotide small RNA is filed under the name Pongo abelii (Sumatran orangutan). RNAcentral describes it as "retained intron". The record is from RNAcentral. Lineage: Eukaryota; Metazoa; Chordata; Mammalia; Primates; Hominidae.